This is a long non-coding RNA of Dromaius novaehollandiae (emu), 581 nucleotides long. RefSeq lists it as uncharacterized. The transcript is spliced from 3 exons. The record is from RefSeq and is a predicted model, not a curated record. Lineage: Eukaryota; Metazoa; Chordata; Aves; Casuariiformes; Dromaiidae.
GCGAGGCUGCGCCUGACGUCGGGCGCCGCGGCGCGGGUCGGGGACAGGCCCGGCUGCCGCCUCGGCCCCGCUGGGCGCUGCCGAAAGCGCGGGGAGGGGAAGCGCGCUCGCUGCGCCGCGGCCCGUCAAGACUUAGAGCCUUUUUUCAGAAUUGCAGUCUCCAUGCCUGGUUGACACAUGCCCUUGGCAGAACAGCACACAGGCCCGUGGCAGGGAGCGUCCGGCCAAGGGGCAGAGCCCAGCCGCAGAGCCCCGCUCCCGCUCGGCACGGACCCAAGCCCCCAGCCUGAAGGGGCACGCAGCGUUUGGAGGAUGCAGCUACGGUUUUGAAGCGUGCCAGAAGCUUUAACCACCUAUGAAUGAAGACAACUCCUAAUGAAUUCCACAUCUCUCGACCAGGUUAAAGGAUUAGACUUCCAGAACAGUAAGUAGGCAUGUCUCUUUUCCUGUUACUCUCCCUAAACAUGUAAAUAUUCUUUCUUGAGCAGGGUGGUAACAUUAUGCUGUUGUUACAUAUGCUGAACUUUCCAUCAAAAGAUUCAAAUUUGCAUUCAGUGUCCCUCUAUACUAUCAACCGUUUG